This 497-nucleotide ribosomal RNA is filed under the name uncultured bacterium. RNAcentral describes it as "partial 16S ribosomal RNA". It matches the Rfam family "Bacterial small subunit ribosomal RNA", at positions 28 to 507 of the family's 1533-position model. The record is from RNAcentral.
GAUGAGCGCUGGCGGCGUGCCUAAUACAUGCAAGUCGAACGCUGAAGGAAGGAGCUUGCUCUUUCCGGAUGAGUUGCGAACGGGUGAGUAACGCGUAGGUAACCUGCCUGGUAGCGGGGGAUAACUAUUGGAAACGAUAGCUAAUACCGCAUAACAGUAGAUGUUGCAUGAUAUCUACUUAAAAGGUGCAAUUGCACCACUACCAGAUGGACCUGCGUUGUAUUAGCUAGUUGGUGAGGUAACGGCUCACCAAGGCGACGAUACAUAGCCGACCUGAGAGGGGGAUCGGCCACACUGGGACUGAGACACGGCCCAGACUCCUACGGGAGGCAGCAGGAGGGAAUCUUCGGCAAUGGACGGAAGUCUGACCGAGCAACGCCGCGUGAGUGAAGAAGGGUUUCGGAUCGUAAAGCUCUGUUGUAAGAGAAGAACGAGUGUGAGAGUGGAAAGUUCACACUGUGACGGUAUCUUACCAGAAAGGGACGGCUAACUACGUG